RNAcentral lists this ribosomal RNA (641 nucleotides) under Streptomyces sp. I13A-00608. RNAcentral's name for it is "bacterial SSU rRNA". It matches the Rfam family "Bacterial small subunit ribosomal RNA", at positions 96 to 753 of the family's 1533-position model. The record is from RNAcentral. Lineage: Bacteria; Bacillati; Actinomycetota; Actinomycetes; Kitasatosporales; Streptomycetaceae.
UGGCGAACGGGUGAGUAACACGUGGGCAAUCUGCCCUGCACUCUGGGACAAGCCCUGGAAACGGGGUCUAAUACCGGAUAUGACCUGCCAAGGCAUCUUGGUGGGUGGAAAGCUCCGGCGGUGCAGGAUGAGCCCGCGGCCUAUCAGCUUGUUGGUGGGGUGAUGGCCUACCAAGGCGACGACGGGUAGCCGGCCUGAGAGGGCGACCGGCCACACUGGGACUGAGACACGGCCCAGACUCCUACGGGAGGCAGCAGUGGGGAAUAUUGCACAAUGGGCGAAAGCCUGAUGCAGCGACGCCGCGUGAGGGAUGACGGCCUUCGGGUUGUAAACCUCUUUCAGCAGGGAAGAAGCGCAAGUGACGGUACCUGCAGAAGAAGCACCGGCUAACUACGUGCCAGCAGCCGCGGUAAUACGUAGGGUGCGAGCGUUGUCCGGAAUUAUUGGGCGUAAAGAGCUCGUAGGCGGCUUGUCGCGUCGGAUGUGAAAGCCCGGGGCUUAACCCCGGGUCUGCAUUCGAUACGGGCAGGCUAGAGUUCGGUAGGGGAGAUCGGAAUUCCUGGUGUAGCGGUGAAAUGCGCAGAUAUCACGAGGAACACCGGGGGGAAGCGGAUCUCUGGGCCGAUACUGACGCUGAGGAG